GAAUAUUGGACAAUGGGCGAGAGCCUGAUCCAGCCAUGCCGCGUGCAGGAAGACGGCCCUAUGGGUUGUAAACUGCUUUUAUACGGGAAGAAACACCUCUUCGUGAAGAGGCUUGACGGUACCGUAAGAAUAAGGAUCGGCUAACUCCGUGCCAGCAGCCGCGGUAAUACGGAGGAUCCAAGCGUUAUCCGGAAUCAUUGGGUUUAAAGGGUCCGUAGGCGGGAUAAUAAGUCAGUGGUGAAAGUCUGCAGCUCAACUGUAGAAUUGCCAUUGAUACUGUUAUUCUUGAGUGUUUACGAAGUGGUUAGAAUAUGUAGUGUAGCGGUGAAAUGCAUAGAUAUUACAUAGAAUACCGAUUGCGAAGGCAGAUCACUAAUAAAAUACUGACGCUGAUGGACGAAAGCGUAGGUAGCGAACAGG
This 420-nucleotide ribosomal RNA is filed under the name uncultured bacterium. Its description in RNAcentral is "bacterial SSU rRNA". It matches the Rfam family "Bacterial small subunit ribosomal RNA", at positions 359 to 776 of the family's 1533-position model. The record is from RNAcentral.